RNAcentral lists this long non-coding RNA (9592 nucleotides) under Chlamydomonas reinhardtii. RNAcentral describes it as "long non-coding RNA (CREI_LNC000669)". The record is from RNAcentral. Lineage: Eukaryota; Viridiplantae; Chlorophyta; Chlorophyceae; Chlamydomonadales; Chlamydomonadaceae.
GCUACGAGACGACCGCCAACGCCCUCGCCUUUGCUGUGUACUGCAUUGCAACCCACCCCGAGGGUACUGCAACCUACCGGUUGAGACAACUGUAGCGCAAGCGCCCCGACGCAGCAACUUGGUUCCUGACGGCGACAAACACCGAGAUAAAGAUAGGGACAUUUUGCUUGCUUGCCACGCUUUGACGUUCGGUUGUUAGUAUCCUUAACCAUGGUGUUUCCCUGGACCCUGCUGCUGUGCGUGUUCCCCUGGCUGCAGUGGAGUCUCGUCUGCUGCGUGAGGUGGAUGAUGUGCUGCCUGGGUCAGACCAGCUGCCCGGCGAGUCCGACCUGCCGCGCCUGGCCUACACGGAGGCGGUGGUGAACGAGGCGCUGCGGCUGUUCCCGCCCGCGCACCUCACCAGCCGCGUGGUGCCGCCCGGGGAGACGCUCACGGUGCGUGUCACGAACAGGACGCCGGGUUACCAGCAUGUUAACGUUUCGUUGUGACCCAGGCCCUGUCAUUACCGUAAAUGCAGGUUGGCGGAUUCAACAUCCCGGCUGGCAUUCCCAUUUUCCUACCCAUGUACAUUGCGCACCGCGACCCCGCCGUGUGGCCGCGAGCGGAUGUGUUCCUUCCCGAGCGCUUCCUGCACGUGAGUGAAGGCUGCAUGAGUGUCCGGUGUGUGGCGGGUUCUUGUCAGGCCUACUUACGUCAUUAGCUGAGGGCCCGCGGGCAGCAGUUGCCUGGAGUCCCGUGCUAUCCAGCCCCGCCCCCUGCGCCCCAUCGCUCCCCCCUCAUCCGACCCCUGCCCAACCCGCCCCCCUGUUCCCCCCUGCCUGCCUGCCUGCCUGCCUGCCUGCCUGCCUGCCUGCCUGCCUGCCUGCCUGCCUGCCUGCCUGCCUGCCUGCCUGCCUGCCUGCCUGCCUGCCUGCCUGCCUGCCUGCCUGCCUGCCUGCCUGCCUGCCUGCCUGCCUGCCUGCCUGCCUGCCUGCCUGCCUGCCUGCCUGCCUGCCUGCCUGCCUGCCUGCCUGCCUGCCUGCCUGCCUGCCUGCCUGCCUGCCUGCCUGCCUGCCUGCCUGCCUCAGUCCUCUCCGCUGUACGAGUCACUGCAGCCGCGCGGCGCCGCCCAGCAGCACGCCCACGCGCCGUUCGGCUACGGCAGCCGCAUGUGCAUCGGCUACAAGUUCGCAAUGCAGGUGCGUGUGGGCCGCAGACUUCGACACACGGUCUUGUGACGCUGCUGCGUAUCUGCACGCGCGCGGACCCACUCGUCCCACAGGCAACGGUCGUGUGCGGGAUCACCCGAUGUGCGGUGAUGAACCUUCUGGCUUCAGUUUAAUCGCGCAUGUUGCCCGCUUGCCCACCAUGCUGUUCCCAAUCCUCAUCAGGAGGCCAAGGUGGCCCUCGCCACACUGUACCGCCGGCUGACCUUCACGCUGGAGCCGGGCCAGCAGCCGCUGCAGGUGGAGGCGUCACUGACCAUGGCGCCGCGCGGCGGGCUGCGCGUGACGCCGGUGCCGCGGCGCAAGCUGUGAGGCGAAGGUGGCGGAGACGAGUGAAGAAAUGUGGGAUGCAGGACGUGUUGCGAGAGGGCGCCCGCUUUGGGGUCUGACAGCAUGAGGGCUUUAGAGGCCGGUCCGGGCGUAGCACGACGUUUAUGGCAGAAUGUUGGCAUGUUGUUUGUCGCCCUUCAGCAACUGCAAGAAUCUGUGGAGGUAGUACGGCAGGGGAACUAACGACUUGCACGAACCCCCAUGCACGGCUCAUGCACAAAGGUUUGCUGUGUUGACCGUAAGCACAUAUACUGGCAAUAGUUGCGCCUAAACACUUUGCGACGUCCGGGAUGUCGAACGUAUUUGCAAACUGGCCGUCGGGCUCGGGAGCACCGCUCGGGGGCCUUCUGCGCAGCCUGGGAAUGGUGAGACUGUCUCGUUGAUGAUACAUAAUUCUGUACAUGGACUAUAAUUGCGUGUUUCGUGAAAGCUCCAGCAGGACCGUCGGCGGAGCACCAGUAAUUAUUGUGAGACAUCCUCUCCGCAGGUCGCUGCGGGCUUCGCGCUUCUGCUGGUGUCGCUGAUCAUAUACCUUCUGGAUCCUAUUAAGCGCUGGCGGCUUCGCAAAAUCCCCGGUGAGCCGGCGACGCCAACCGCUGAGUUCAUGGUUUACGAACACCCAUUGUAAACGCGACGUCUGCUCUCGAGCAAGCGUCGCAAAUACAAAGUGCCCCAACAUAAUGCCCUCAGUUCAUUCAGUACGAAUGGGGGGUUGACGAGCACGACGCACAGACACUAACCCAUGCACCCCCACCCCCCUCGCAACCAGGCCCUCGCGGCCGCCCGGUGCUGGGCUGCCUGCCGCAGCUGCGGGCGCAGCCCAUGCCUCUGUUCCUUCAGAGCUGCGCCCAGACCUACGGACCCGUGUUCAAGGCAAGCGGUGCCGACGCAUGCUGAAGGGGGACACGCACGCAUGCAUGUUCCUUGCUUGUCAGCAGAGGUGCAGGCACGAGGUGCAGGGAACUGCGGUCUUACUCCAUCAUGUUUCCCGCAUGCAGGUGGCUCUGGGCCGCAAAUGGGUGGUGGUGCUGGCGGAUGCAGAGAUGCAGCGACAGGUGGAUGGGGCGGGGUCGGAGCGGGGUCAGGGUGGGGGUGCUCAAAUCCGCUUAGAGACAUCGCGGGGACCAUGGGAGAUAGCAGGGUGGUUUGGCAGCCCUUGCGGCGGACAGUUGUCGGUUUUGUCGUUGUGAUGGCUGCGGUAGGGGAUCGCACAAGCUGUACAUGCGGCCCCUGACUACUGGGACAUCCACCACAUCCAACCGUACCGUACCGUAUUCGCUGCGGCCCUCCUUGCUCCUGCCCGCCGGCCAUGGAGCUAGCUGUGCCCUGGAACCACCCACUUCAACUUGUACAGCGGUCCUAACUCCACGGACACACGCUGGCCUGUCUGCAGGUCGGCUUCAAGCUGCGGGCCCAUGCGCGGACGGACCCGGACUUCUCCCGGGGGCGCUACCACGCCAUGCUGUCGUCCAUGCUCCUGCGCGCCAGGUGCGUGGCUGUGUGUGUGCGCUGUGCUGGGCGAUGGCUGGUCGUGUUGGGAGCCCGGUGGCGUCGUUGGGUUCUGACCCAGCGCUUAUUUGCGUGGUGGGCUUACGCGUGGCAACCGGCCGCGGACGUGCCCCGCCGACCCAAACCCACACCCUGACAUGCCUGCCCCCCCCCGCCCCCCACACACACGCAGCGGCUCCACCUGGCGGCAGCUGCGUGCCGCCUGGCAGCCCGCCUUCGCGCCCGCCAGCCUGGCCGGCUACCUCCCACUCAUGACCGGCUGCGCAGACCAGCUGGCCAGGCGGCUGGAGGCCAAGGCCACAGCCGCGGCCGGCGCCACAGCCUCCGGUGCUACGGCCGGCGGCGGCAGCAGUGUGGACAUGUGGCGUGAGCUGGGUGGCAUGACGCUGCAGGUGGUAGGCUCCACUGCGUACGGGUGAGCGGGGCGGGGCGGGGGCAGGGGCGCUGCACGCAGAGCACAUGCCCACUCGAGGCUUGGACUCGGAGCAUGACAUCCGCUGGGCAGCGUGGCAUGCCCAAUCCUACGCGCCCCCCACACACCUGCCCCAGGGUUGAUUUCCACUCCAUCAAUGAGGAGGACCAGGCUGGUUCUGGAUCUGGGUCUGCUACCGCUACUGCCGGUGCUACAGCCGCCGCCAAGGGCCGUGGCGAUGACGGCUACGGCAAGCAGCUGGCGGCGGCGUGCGGCCAGAUCUUCCGAUACGGCAGUCCCGUGCACGGCAGCCCGUGAGUACGGCAAUCGGCAUGUGUGCAGGGGACAUGUAAGCUGGGUGUCAACCCACAGGCCAGGUCCUCCCGAACCUGUUGGACCUGUAGUGCGGCAAAGCCAUGUGCGUCCUUGCGCCUUUCUGCUCACAGCUACCUGCGUUUGGCCAUGCUGUUUCCGGAGCUGCGCUCUCUGCUGUUGACGCUGGCGCACACACUGCCCGACGAGAAGUUCACGAUCCUAACGAAGGUAGGUAGUUGGGUAGGGCGUCAGUGCAUGGUUUUGGUGUUGUAAGGGAUAUGGAGUGCGUGCUUGGCGCGCCCUGGUGCACCGCACCCCGAUGGAGAUUUUGGCCUCAGCACGCAACUACUUACCAAAGUGACAAUGGGACACAUGAUGUAUGACGCUGCAGGCCCGCACACGGUUGUGCAACACCGUCUUCCAGUUAAUUGACUCAUGGAAGGAGCAGCAUCGUGCGGAGGCUGAGAUUGAUGCCGCGGCUAGCAGUGGCAAGCCGGAUGUUGGAGCCGGCAGGCACAGCAGCAACGGCGUGGGGGCUGCUGCUACCAGCGGCCGCGGCGGGCUGUCGGGUGUGGCGCCCGGGAGCUUCCUGGACCUCAUGCUAGGGCAGCGCCAGGGCGGGGAAAGAGGCAGCGGCGGAAAGAAGGCGGAGGGCGAGGAGGGUGUGGAGCACGCGCCCCUGACCGAUGAGCAGGUGGCGGGGCAGGUGAGAUCACGAGAUGGGUGGUGUAAUGGGGAGCAGGAUGGAGCGGUGCAGAGGCCACUCGGACUUGCCAUCUCACCAUGUCCUCACGUACAAGCAAGUGAAGCAACGCCACACCACACCGCCGCGUCUCACGCCUGCAGGUGCAGCUGUUCAUCUUGGCGGGCUACGAGACGACCGCCAACGCCCUGGCCUUUGCUGUGUACUGCAUUGCAACCCACCCCGAGGGUACUGCAACCUACCGGUUGAGACAACUGUAGCGCAAGCGCCCCGACGCAGCAACUUGGUUCCUGACGGCGACAAACACCGAGAUGAAGAUAGGGACAUUUUGCUUGCUUGCCACGCUUUGACGUUCGGUUGUUAGUAUCCUUAACCAUGGUGUUUCCCUGGACCCUGCUGCUAUGCGUGUUCCCCUGGCUGCAGUGGAGUCUCGUCUGCUGCAUGAGGUGGAUGAUGUGCUGCCAGGGUCGGACCAGCUGCCCGGCGAGUCCGACCUGCCGCGCCUGGCCUACACGGAGGCGGUGGUGAACGAGGCGCUGCGGCUGUUCCCGCCCGCGCACCUCACCAGCCGCGUGGUGCCGCCCGGGGAGACGCUCACGGUGCGUGUCACGAACAGGACGCCGGGUUACCAGCAUGUUAACGUUUCGUUGUGACCCAGGCCCUGUCAUUACCGUAAAUGCAGGUUGGCGGAUUCAACAUCCCGGCUGGCAUUCCCAUUUUCCUACCAUUGUACAUUGCGCACCGCGACCCCGCCGUGUGGCCGCGAGCGGAUGAGUUCCUUCCCGAGCGCUUCCUGCACGUGAGUGAAGGCUGCAUGAGUGUCCGGUGUGUGGCGGGUUCUUGUCAGGCCUACUUACGUCAUUAGCUGAGGGCCCGCGGGCAGCAGUUGCCUGGAGUCCCGUGCUAUCCAGCCCCGCCCCCUGCGCCCCAUCGCUCCCCCCUCAUCCGACCCCUGCCCAACCCGCCCCCCUGUUCCCCCCUGCCUGCCUGCCUGCCUGCCUUCCUGCCUGCCUGCCUGCCUGCCUGCCUGCCUGCCUGCCUGCCUGCCUGCCUGCCUGCCUGCCUGCCUGCCUGCCUGCCUGCCUGCCUGCCUGCCUGCCUGCCUGCCUGCCUGCCUGCCUGCCUGCCUGCCUGCCUGCCUGCCUGCCUGCCUGCCUGCCUGCCUGCCUCAGUCCUCUCCGCUGUACGAGUCACUGCAGCCGCGCGGCGCCGCCCAGCAGCACGCCCACGCGCCGUUCGGCUACGGCAGCCGCAUGUGCAUCGGCUACAAGUUCGCAAUGCAGGUGCGUGUGGGCCGCAGACUUCGAUACGGUCUUGUGACGCUGCUGCAUAUCUGCACGCGCGCGGACCCACUCGUCCCACAGGCAACGGUCGUGUGCGGAUCACCCGAUAUGCGGUGAUGAACCGUCUGGGGUCAGUUUAAUUGCGCAUGUUGCCCGCUUGCCCACCAUGCUGUUCCCAAUCCUCAUCAGGAGGCCAAGGUGGUCCUCGCCACGCUGUACCGCCGGCUGACCUUCACGCUGGAGCCGGGCCAGCAGCCGCUGCAGGUGGAGGCGUCACUGACCAUGGCGCCGCGCGGCGGGCUGCGCGUGAUGCCGGUGCCGCGGCGCAAGCUAUGAGGCGAAGGCGGCGGAGACGAGUGAAGAAAUGUGGGAUGCAGGACUUGUUGCGAGAGGGCGGCCGCUUUGGGGUCUGACAGCAUGAGGGCUGUAGAGGCCGGUCCGGGCGUAGCACUACGUUUAUGGCAGAAUGUUGGCAUGUUGUUUGUCGCCCUUCAGCAACUGCAAGAAUCUGUGGACGUAGUACGGCAGGGGAACUAACGACUUGCACGAACCCCCAUGCACGGCUCAUGCAGAAAGGUUUGCUGUGUUGGCCGUAAGCACAUUACUGGCAAUAGUUGCGCCUGAACACUUUGCGACGUCCGGGAUGUCGAACGUAUUUGCAAACUGGCCGUCGGGCUCGGGAGCACCGCUCGGGGGCCUUCUGCGCCUGGGAAUGGUGAGACUGUCUCGUUGAUGGUACAUAAUCUAUACAUGGACUGUAAAUGCGUGUUUCGUGAAAGCUCCAGCAGGACCGUCGGCGGAGCACCGGCGGGCCAGUAAUUGUUGUGAGACAUCCUCUCCGCAGGUCGCUGCGGGCUUCGCGCUUCUGCUGGUGUCGCUAAUCAUAUACCUUCUGGAUCCUAUUAAACGCUGGCGACUUCGCAAAAUCCCCGGUGAGCCGGCGACGCCAACCGCUGAGUUCAUGGUUUACGAACACCCAUGGUAGCCGCGACGUCUGCCCUUGAGCAAGCGUCGUCAUUACAGAGUGCCCCAACAUACUGCCCUCAGUUCAUUCAGUACGAAUGGGGAGUUGACGAGCACGACGCACAGACACUAACAACACAUACACGCCGCCCCCCCCCCCCUCGCAACCAGGCCCUCGCGGCCGCCCGGUGCUGGGCUGCCUGCCGCAGCUGCGGGCGCAGCCCAUGCCUCUGUUCCUUCAGAGCUGCGCCCAGACCUACGGACCCGUGUUCAAGGCAAGCGGUGCCGACGCAUGCUGAAGGGGGACACGCACGCAUGCAUGUUCCUUGCUUGUCAGCAGAGGUGCAGGGAAUUGCGGUCAUACUCCAUCGUGUGUCCCGCAUGCAGGUGGCUCUGGGCCGCAAAUGGGUGGUGGUGCUGGCGGAUGCAGAGAUGCAGCGACAGGUGGAUGGGGCGGGGUCGGGGCGGGGUCGGGGCGGGGGUGCUCAAAUCCGCUUAAGAGACGUCGCGGGGACCAUGGCCCAUGGGAGAUAGCAGGUGGUGUGGCAGCCCUUGCGGCGGACAGUUGUCGGUUGUAUCGUUGUGAUGGCUGCGGUAGGAGAUCGCAAAAGCUGUGCAACCGGCCCCUGUGCUGGGACAUCCACCACACCCAACCGCACCGUACCAUAUUCGCUGCGGCCCGCCUGCCUUCUGACCGCCGGCCAUGGCUUUAGCUGUGCCCUGGAACCAUCCACUUCAACAGCGGUCCUAACUCCACGGACACCCGCUGGCCUGUCUGCAGGUCGGCUUCAAGCUGCGGGCCCAUGCGCGGACUGACCCCGGGGGCGCUACCACGCCAUGCUGUCGUCCAUGCUCCUGCGUGCCAGGUGCGUGGCUGUGUGUGUGCGCUGUGGUGGGCGAUGGCUGGUCGUGUUGGGAGCGCGGUGGCGCCAUUGGGUUCUGACCCAGCGCUUAUUUGCGUGGUGGGCUUACACGUGGCAACCGGCCGCGGACGUGCCCCGCCGACCCAAAUCCACACCCUGAUGUGCCUGCCCCCCCCCCCCCACACACACACACACACGCAGCGGCUCCACCUGGCGGCAGCUGCGUGCCGCCUGGCAGCCCGCCUUCGCGCCCGCCAGCCUGGCCGGCUAUCUCCCACUCAUGACCGGCUGCGCAGACCAGCUGGCCAGGCGGCUGGAGGCCAAGGCCACAGCCGCCGCCGGUGCUACAGCCGGCGGCGGCAGCAGUGUGGACAUGUGGCGUGAGCUGGGCGGCAUGACGCUGCAGGUGGUAGGCUCCACUGCAUACGGGUGAGCGGGGCGGGGCGGGGGCAGGGGCGCUGCACGCAGAGCACCUGCCCACUCGAGGCUUGGACUCGGAGCAUGACAUCCGCUGGGCAGCGUGGUAUGCCCAAUCCUACGCGCCCCCCACGCACCUGCCCCAGGGUUGAUUUCCACUCCAUCAAUGAGGAGGACCAGGCUGGUUCUGGAUCUGGGUCUGCUACUGCUACUGCCGGUGCUACAGCCGCCGCCAAGGGCCGUGGUGAUGACGGCUACGGCAAGCAGCUGGCGGCGGCGUGCGGCCAGAUCUUCCGAUACGGCAGCCCCGUGCACGGCAGCCCGUGAGUACGGCAAUCGGCAUGUGUGCAGGGGACAUGUAAAGCUGGGUAUUGGCCCACAGGCCAGGUCCUCCCGCACCUGUUGGACCUGUAGUGUGGCAAAACCAUGCGCCCCUGCGCCUUUCUCCUCACAGCUACCUGCGUGUGGCGAUGCUGUUUCCGGAGCUGCGGUCUCUGCUGUUGACGCUGGCGCACACACUGCCCGACGAGAAGUUCACAAUCCUAACGAAGGUAGGUAUUUGGGUAGGGCGUCAGUGUAUGGUUUGAUGUUGUAAGGGAUAUGGAGUGCGUGCUUGGCGCGCCCUGGUGCAUCAGACCGCGAUGGAGAUUUGGGUAUCAGCACGCAACUACUUACCGAAGUGACAAUGGGGCACAUGAUAUACCGUAUGACGCUGCAGGCCCGCACACGGCUGUGCAACACCGUCUUCCAGCUAAUCGACUCAUGGAAGCAGCAGCACAGUGCGGAGGGUGCGACUGCUGCCGGGGCUAGCAGUGGCAAGCCGGACGCUGGAGCCGGGCAGAGCAACAACGGCGUGGGGGCUGCCGCUACUGGUGGUCGCGGGCUGUCUGGUGUGGCGCCUGGGAGCUUCCUGGACCUCAUGCUAGGGCAUCGUCAAGGCGGGGGAAGCGGCAGCGGCGGAAAGAAGGCGGAGGGCGAGGAGGGUGUGGAGCACGCGCCCCUGACCGAUGAGCAGGUGGCGGGGCAGGUGAGCUGGCUGAUUUCGUGGGGAGCAGGAGCGGCGCAGAGGCCAUUCGGACUUGCCACGUCUCCGUGUCCCUGCGUACAAGCAAGUGAAGUGACACCACACCGCGUCUCACGCCUGCAGGUGCAGCUGUUCAUCUUGGCGGGCUACGAGACGACCGCCAACGCCCUGGCCUUUGCUGUGUACUGCAUUGCAACCCACCCCGAGGGUACGUGCAAUCUACCGGUUGAGACACCUGCAGCGCAAACGCGCUGACACAGCAACUUGGUUCCUCACGGCGACAAACACCGAGAUGAAUGAUAGGGGACAUUUUGCUUGUUUGCCACGCUUCGACGUUGCGGUUGUUAGUAUCCUUAACCUUCAUGGACUCUGCUGAACGUGUUCCCCUGGCUGCAGUGGAGUCUCGUCUGCUGCGUGAGGUGGAUGAUGUGCUGCCUGGGUCGGACCAGCUGCCCGGCGAGUCCGACCUGCCGCGCCUGGCCUACACGGAGGCGGUGGUGAACGAGGCGCUGCGGCUGUUCCCGCCCGCGCACCUCACCAGCCGCGUGGUGCCGCCCGGGGAGACGCU